AUUGAACGCUGGCGGCAUGCUUUACACAUGCAAGUCGAACGGUAACAGGCCGCAAGGUGCUGACAAGUGGCGAACGGGUGAGUAAUGCAUCGGAACGUGCCCAGUCGUGGGGGAUAACGCAGCGAAAGCUGUGCUAAUACCGCAUACGAUCUAUGGAUGAAAGCGGGGGACCGUAAGGCCUCGCGCGAUUGGAGCGGCCGAUGUCAGAUUAGGUAGUUGGUGGGAAAAGGCUCACCAAGCCAACGAUCUGUAGCUGGUCUGAGAGGACGACCAGCCACACUGGGACUGAGACACGGCCCAGACUCCUACGGGAGGCAGCAGUGGGGAAUUUUGGACAAUGGACGCAAGUCUGAUCCAGCAAUGCCGCGUGCAGGACGAAGGCCUUCGGGUUGUAAACUGCUUUUGUACGGAACGAAACGGUGAGCUCUAAUACAGUUUGCUAAUGACGGUACCGUAAGAAUAAGCACCGGCUAACUACGUGCCAGCCGCCGCGGUAA
Molecule: ribosomal RNA, 497 nt
Filed under: uncultured bacterium
Lineage: Bacteria
Description: partial 16S ribosomal RNA
Rfam family: Bacterial small subunit ribosomal RNA
Source: RNAcentral